Non-coding RNA from Potamilus streckersoni, 74 nucleotides. The record is from the annotation of a GenBank genome assembly. Lineage: Eukaryota; Metazoa; Mollusca; Bivalvia; Unionida; Unionidae.
CGCUCCGGUGGCCUAGUGGUUAGAAAUUCCGCCUCGGAUGCGGGAGUUCGUGGAUUCGAUUCCCUGUCGAGUGA